GCCAAUGAGAGGGGUGAGAGGAAAAUCAUUGUUGGAAUGCCAUGUGUAACAUUGUUUUGGAUAAGGAUUUUCUUUUAUAAAGUAUAUAGAUUAACAAUUGGAAGAGUAAAGACCGCUAGGUUUUUUAUUUUUAUUUUUAUUUUUAUUUUUAUUUUUAUUUUUAUUUUUAUUUUUAUUUUUAUUUUUAUUUUUAUGUAGGAAAAGAAACAAACCAACAUCGGAGGGAGGGUACUUUCAAAUCUGCCGUCGAUAGCCCACCUGAGUUGCAUAUCUACUACUUCUUAUUCUCAAGUUUGCAAUUCACUAUUCCUACAAAACCUCCAAUCAGCUUUCGCCAUCUGGCUUUCUUUCCUUUAGUUUUAAUUUUUUUCCAAUGGCCUCUAGGAUACGACUAACCAUUCAUCAUCCCCAUCUCAAUCGCGUGUUGCCUCUGCUCUCCACCCACUCCGUCGUACGCUAGCUAGCAAUCGCGUGUUGCCUCUCCCUCUUCACCCACUCCGUUGUACCCUUCGUCAUCUUCUUUUUCAUUGAUUUCUCUUCUGAAAUCAACCCUAGCUAGCUUUCCUCUUCUCCAAAUCCAUCCAAACCCUAGAUGUGUUUCCGUGUUUAAGUUGCUCUUUCCAUCCACUUCUCACCAAUCCAUCAACUUCGUCUUUUCGAUUGAUCUGAUGUCGCCUUUGUCUUCGUCGCCGGUUGCUGUUCAUCCGCCAUUCCCUCUUCUCAGUUGCCGAACUUUUUGGGUUGAAUGCAUCUUCGAAGGUUGAUUUUGUGAUCAAAUGAUUCCAUUCAAAGCUUAUGUCCUGUAAGAGAAGCAUAAAAGAUCAGAGCAAGGGUGAUCAGAAAGGGAGCUCCAUAGUUGGCAAUUGUGAUCUUGAAUUUGCUGAAGGACUGUUUGUCGGCGGUAAAUUAUGGCCACUCCUAAACAUAUUAGUGAACUGAUACAUGUGGAAGGCAUGGCAAUGUACGAAUUCAAAAGCCACUUGCAAGGGGAAAUAUCUGAUAAAGACCAUGAAUGAGAACAGUGACAGUCAUCCUAAAUUACCAAAUUCAAACCAUUAAGCAUGGAACUUCUUGAAUUGUUUAGAGUUCUUAUGACUCUUAAAGUUGAAAGGCUUAAAGUUUCACAUUGGAGAACUCAACGAUCAUACCUCAUUGCUUAAAA
This is a long non-coding RNA of Lotus japonicus, 1162 nucleotides long. RefSeq lists it as uncharacterized. NCBI's taxonomy places the organism in Eukaryota, Viridiplantae, Streptophyta, Magnoliopsida, Fabales, Fabaceae. The transcript has 6 exons. The record is from RefSeq and is a predicted model, not a curated record.